UCUCCGUUGGUGAACCAGCGGAGGGAUCAUUAAAGAGUUCUAUAACUCCCAAACCCAUGUGAACAUACCCUACGUUGCCUCGGCAGGUCGUGCCUACCCCGUAGCGCCCUACCCUGUAGGACCUACCCGGUAGACGCGGGUAAGCCUGCCGGCGGCCCACGAAACUCUGUUUAGUAUUGAAUUCUGAACCUAUAACUAAAUAAGUUAAAACUUUCAACAACGGAUCUCUUGGUUCUGGCAUGGAUGAAGAACGCAGC
RNAcentral lists this unclassified non-coding RNA (257 nucleotides) under plant metagenome. RNAcentral's name for it is "partial contains small subunit ribosomal RNA, internal transcribed spacer 1, and 5.8S ribosomal RNA". The stretch from base 209 to 257 matches the Rfam family "5.8S ribosomal RNA", at positions 1 to 49 of the family's 154-position model. The record is from RNAcentral.